Molecule: long non-coding RNA, 2660 nt
Organism: Bacillus rossius redtenbacheri
Lineage: Eukaryota; Metazoa; Arthropoda; Insecta; Phasmatodea; Bacillidae
Exons: 2
Source: RefSeq, a predicted model, not a curated record
GAAAUGGUGGUGGCACCGGCUAGGUGCCACGUGACAGAAAUGGUAGAGUUCGCCGGAUAGGUUCUAUUUCUGGAGAGAGAGAGAGGUAGAUUUUUAUGUUUAUUAUUAAGUUAGUUUCAGCUUCUGAUAGCAGGUUAUUAAGAGUUUACUUGAGGAGAGGAUUACGGAAUUUUAGUCUAUAGUGGAGGAAGUCUUUGAGAUUUUUUUUUUGACGUAACAGAUGUUUAUUUGAGGAUACUUGUAAGGAUAAAGUUUAUAGUGAUAAGUUGUUUUAAGUCGUUGAAUUUAUUGUAGAUUUAUAUCGGGGAUUAUUACGUGAGGAGAAUACGUUAUAAGUUAAAUGCUUAUUAGAGAUAAUGCAAGUGGUUUAAUUUAAUUGAAGUUCAUUUUAAGAUUGUAGGUUAAGAGAAUUAUAAUUUAAAAUAAAGUUUUUUGUCGUAAAUAGGAAUUAUUUUCAAGAGAAGUUUGUUUUGUUUUCGUGCGCGUAGGAGACGAGACGUACGAAUUAAAUCAGUCGAGGGAAGGAUAAACGUUAGAAAGGAAUUAAAGAGAAAACGAGAGUUUAUGUAAAAGAGAGUUAUAGAAUUUAUAGUGAUGUUUUGUUUUAAUUAGAAAAAUGUUGAGAGUUGUUUCAGAACGACACGUCAGUGGACGUGGCAGAGUGAACACGUGACUGGGAGGUGCUGAGACCUAGCGGAGAACGGAGGAACCGCAAGCGAGGGUUGGCGCACCUGAUGGAAUUCGGUGACGUCACGGGCUCAUACGGAGACGUGGACAGGCCGUGACCUUGUUUUGAUCAGCUGUACGGUAACUUAGCGAUAAGAAAAUAGACUAUUGGUUAAAUAAAUUUAAAUUUAAGUGUGUUUUAGGAGAAGAGGAACUUUCAGUAUAUUCCUUAAGAUGAGCUGAGCAGCAGUCCAGUUUACAAGAUGACAAGAGUUCGAGAGACAAGAUACAAGAUCACUGAAACAAGAGCCAAGACUGAAGAUUCAAGAGAAGAGAAAGCUGGCAGCCAUGGACUUACAAGUGGAGAUUAAUAAGGUCAUGUAAAGUUUUAUUUUUUUUAUGGAAGACAGUAACUGGAGUUUUUUUUUUGUUAUAAACAUUAUUUACAGAACUUUUUAGGUUAUAGUAAUGUAAUGGAACUAGUGAGUUGUGGUAGCUGUCAAAAAGAACUAAUACCUUAAGUUUAAUUUUUAAAGUUAAUUUUCUUAAUUUACAGAGGGAUUAGUAGUUUUUUUUUAAACCUUAUUUAGGUUGGAAUUUAAAUACAAUAGCUUAUUAUAAAUGUGUACGAACAGUUCAAGUUCACAGUACUGAUAGGUAGGUCAGAUGAUCUUAUUGAUUUUGAUGAUUUGUUGUUUUGAGUUGAUUUUUAAGUGUUGUGAAUUAGACAAUGAAAUAGUUCUGAAAACUUAAAUUAUUUCAAGCUAAGAAAUAGUAAAUUUAAUUGUAACUCGAAGGACACCAGAAUUUACUUUUUUUUGAAUUAGUAAUGUUUGAAAAUUUUAUACUUUACAAGAAAGGUUAUAAACAAACAGAUCGGAUGGAACAAGGAUGCAGUAAAUCACAAUUUCAUUUAGAAUUAUUGAUUAGCUUUUGAGGUUAUGAAGUAAAAGUAAUUAUAGUUUAAAAGUUUGAAUAAAAAAAAAUGUUUUUUUUUUAUUUGUUUGAAAUAGAAAGUUUAAAAGUUAAUUAGUCAUGAUCUAGGUGGGUGAUGGGGUGGGAAUUGGCCACUCUUUUUCCCUAUAACCUCCCUAACAUGGCCUUCUAUUACAACUAACAGAAAUAAAGAAGAAGAAAAAUGAAGAAUUAUUAGUUAGAAUGUUUCUUUCAUGAAGAUACCUGAUGAACUUUUACUGUUUGGAAGAAUAGAAGCAAGGUUAGUCAGAUAUUUUUACUCAGAAGAAGAAGAAGAUAAAGCAGUUUUAUGACUCGACAAGCCAGAGAUUGGUGUUUCCCCUCUGCGCUUCUAUUGACUACGUUGUUUACUCUCAUGGGAUAGCUGGUUCGGCACCAUGGAGAGAGAUUGGUGGGCAUUGUGGUUGCCCCCAGAAGAAAAGAAGAGUAGAAGAGGUUAUGGGUGGGUCAUGUGAAGUGACCUUCAACCCAGUUACUUCGUGGGGACUAUUUGCUGUAUAGAGAAGAUCAAGACUCAAGAGUUAGGGAAAAUCAUUGGAGGUCAUGUUUCCCUUCCUUAAGUUUUUCCUAUCAAAUUAUUUGCCUGAUUAGAUUAUGCUAAGGGUGGGAUACUUUAUGUUAGCAGUUGAAUUAAUUAAUUUUAUUUUUUUGUGUGUUUGCAUCCUUGCCCAUCGAUUGCAGUUUAGUAGUUAGUUUUGUAUUUGUCAGGCGUGAUGGUAAUGCCUGUUGAUGAUGUUUCAGAAUUGUAAUCUGUUCGUGAUGAGGAUGGCACAACUCCGAAGCAGAUGUGGGGAGAAGUUGUGAGCUGCCCUGGAAGCCAGUCCAGUAGCUGUUGGAGUUGAGUGGUGUUUGCUGAUGGCCAGCCCAGGGAGCUACUCUUCUCGACAACACUGACUUCGAGGAGUUGCACCAACCUUCACGAGAUAAGAGUUUAAUUAAUUGAAACACUGUAAGGACACUUAAUUUUUUUUUGAAGAACGAAAGAAGUAUGGUAAUAAACGGAAACCGAAAAAAAAAAA